Molecule: ribosomal RNA, 497 nt
Filed under: uncultured bacterium
Lineage: Bacteria
Description: partial 16S ribosomal RNA
Rfam family: Bacterial small subunit ribosomal RNA
Source: RNAcentral
GAUGAACGCUGGCGGCGUGCCUAAUACAUGCAAGUCGAACGGAAAGACGAUGAGCUUGCUCCUCUGACGUUAGCGGCGGGCGGGUGAGUAACGCGUGGAUCACCUACUUAUAUGACGGGGAUAACUUCGGAAAACCGGAUAUAAUACCAGAGAAUAUAUUGAACCGCGGGGGUCAAUGGAAAAUUACGGUUUUGGGGGCUGGAAUAGCUGAUUACGCGCCGUAUUAGCUAGUUGGUAAGGUAACGGCUUACCAAGGCUACGAGGCGUAGCCGAACUGAGAGGGUGAUCGGCCACAUUGGAACUGAGACACGGUCCAGACUCCUACGGGAGGCAGCAGUCGGGAAUCUGCGGCAAUGGGCGAAAGCCUGACGCAGCAACGCCGCGUGAGUGAUGAAGGCCUUCGGAUCGUAAAGCCCUGUUAUUGGGUAAGAACAACUGUGGCAGGAAACAUGGCCGUCUUGACGGUACCUAAUCAGAAAGCACCGGCUAACUACGUG